RNAcentral lists this ribosomal RNA (292 nucleotides) under uncultured bacterium. RNAcentral's name for it is "partial 16S ribosomal RNA". It matches the Rfam family "Bacterial small subunit ribosomal RNA", at positions 505 to 796 of the family's 1533-position model. The record is from RNAcentral.
GUGCCAGCAGCCGCGGUAAUACAGAGGAGCCAAGCGUUGUCCGGAUUGACUGGGCGUAAAGCGCACGCAGGCGGCCUAGUGCGUGGGGUGUGAAAUCUGGCCGCUUAACGGCCAGGCGCCAUCCCAUACGGCUAAGCUGGAGGGCUGCAGAGGUCGAUGGAAUUGCCGGUGUAGUGGUGAAAUGCGUAGAGAUCGGCAGGAACACCCAGGGGGAAACCAGUCGACUGGGCAGCACCUGACGCUGAGGUGCGAGAGCGUGGGGAGCGAACCGGAUUAGAUACCCGGGUAGUCC